UACGUAGGUGGCAAGCGUUGUCCGGAUUUACUGGGCGUAAAGCGUGCGCAGGCGGCUUUGUAAGCCAGAUGUGAAAGCCCCGGGCUUAACCUGGGAAUGGCAUUUGGGACUGCAAGGCUGGAGUGUGGCAGAGGAGACUGGAAUUCCUGGUGUAGCAGUGAAAUGCGUAGAUAUUCGCAAGAACACCAGUGGCGAAGGCGGCUCACUGGCUCGGUACUGACGCUGAGGUGCGAAAGCGUGGGGAGCAAACAGG
This 253-nucleotide ribosomal RNA is filed under the name uncultured bacterium. RNAcentral's name for it is "partial 16S ribosomal RNA". It matches the Rfam family "Bacterial small subunit ribosomal RNA", at positions 524 to 776 of the family's 1533-position model. The record is from RNAcentral.